CCUACGGGUGGCUGCAGUGGGGAAUUUUGGACAAUGGGGGCAACCCUGAUCCAGCCAUUCCGCGUGAGUGAAGAAGGCCUUCGGGUUGUAAAGCUCUUUCGGCAGGAACGAAACGGCCCUAGUUAAUACCUGGGGCUAAUGACGGUACCUGAAGAAGAAGCACCGGCUAACUACGUGCCAGCAGCCGCGGUAAUACGUAGGGUGCGAGCGUUAAUCGGAGUUACUGGGGGUAAAGCGUGAAGAGGGAUGUGAAAUCCCCGGGCUUAACCUGGGAACUGCGUUUGUGACUGCAAGACUCGAGUACGGCAGAGGGGGGUGGAAUUCCACGUGUAGCAGUGAAAUGCGUAGAGAUGUGGAGGAACACCGAUGGCGAAGGCAGCCCCCUGGGCUAGUACUGACGCUCAUGCACGAAAGCGUGGGGAGCAAACAGGAUUAGAUACCCGUGUAGUC
This 450-nucleotide ribosomal RNA is filed under the name uncultured bacterium. Its description in RNAcentral is "partial 16S ribosomal RNA". It matches the Rfam family "Bacterial small subunit ribosomal RNA", at positions 338 to 795 of the family's 1533-position model. The record is from RNAcentral.